RNAcentral lists this ribosomal RNA (481 nucleotides) under uncultured bacterium. Its description in RNAcentral is "bacterial SSU rRNA". It matches the Rfam family "Archaeal small subunit ribosomal RNA", at positions 725 to 1204 of the family's 1478-position model. The record is from RNAcentral.
AGCUAAUAGAUACCCCGGUAGUCCUAGCUGUAAACGAUGCUCGCUAGGUGUCAGGCACGGUGCGUCCGUGUUUGGUGCCGUAGGGAAGCCGAGAAGCGAGCCACCUGGGAAGUACGGUCGCAAGGCUGAAACUUAAAGGAAUUGGCGGGGGAGCACUACAACGGGUGGAGCCUGCGGUUUAAUUGGAUUCAACGCCGGAAAUCUCACCGGGUGCGACAGCAAUAUGUAGGUCAGGCUGAAGGUCUUACCUGAAUCGCUGAGAGGAGGUGCAUGGCCGUCGUCAGUUCGUACUGUGAAGCAUCCUGUUAAGUCAGGCAACGAGCGAGACCCGCGCCCACAGUUGCCAGCAUGUUCUCCGGAACGAUGGGCACACUGUGGGGACCGCCGCUGCUAAAGCGGAGGAAGGAACGGGCUACGGUAGGUCAGUAUGCUCCGGAUCUCCCGGGCUACACGCGGGCUACAAUGGUUGGGACAAUGGGCA